RNAcentral lists this ribosomal RNA (468 nucleotides) under uncultured bacterium. RNAcentral describes it as "partial 16S ribosomal RNA". It matches the Rfam family "Bacterial small subunit ribosomal RNA", at positions 28 to 507 of the family's 1533-position model. The record is from RNAcentral.
GACGAACGCUGGCGGCGUGCUUAACACAUGCAAGUCGAACGGCAAGGCCCUGCUUUUGUGGGGUGCUCGAGUGGCGAACGGGUGAGUAACACGUGAGUAACCUGCCCUUGACUUUGGGAUAACUUCAGGAAACUGGGGCUAAUACCGGAUAGGAGCUCCUGCUGCAUGGUGGGGGUUGGAAAGUUUCGGCGGUUGGGGAUGGACUCGCGGCUUAUCAGCUUGUUGGUGGGGUAGUGGCUUACCAAGGCAUUGACGGGUAGCCGGCCUGAGAGGGUGACCGGCCACAUUGGGACUGAGAUACGGCCCAGACUCCUACGGGAGGCAGCAGUGGGGAAUAUUGCACAAUGGGCGGAAGCCGGAUGCAGCAACGCCGCGUGCGGGAUGACGGCCUUCGGGUUGUAAACCUCUUUCGCCUGUGACGAAGCGUGAGUGACGGUAAUGGGUAAAGAAGCACCGGCUAACUACGUG